Serinus canaria (Common canary) is the source of this 3733-nucleotide long non-coding RNA. RefSeq lists it as uncharacterized. The transcript is spliced from 4 exons. Lineage: Eukaryota; Metazoa; Chordata; Aves; Passeriformes; Fringillidae. The record is from RefSeq and is a predicted model, not a curated record.
GGGCUGUGUGAAAGCACAGGUUCAAGGGUGGUAAGCCUGAGAUAGGAGUGAAAUCAGCAGCCCAGCUGAGGUGCAUGUACACCAAUGCACACAGCGUGGGUAACAAACAAGAAGAGCUGGAGGCCAUGGUGCAGCAGCAGACCUGUGAUGUAGUUGCCAUCACAGAAAUGUGGUGGGACGACUCACAUGGCUGGAGUGCUGCACUGGAAUGGCUACAAGCUCUUCAGGAGAGACAAGAGAAGGAGAAGAGGUGAAGGAGAGGUUCUUUGUGUUAGGGAGGCUCUCAACACGGUGGGAAUUGGGGUUAUUGAUGAUAAAGUCAAGUACCUAUGAGUAAUAACUGGGGGAAAGGGCCAACAAGGCUAGCAUCCUACUGGGAGUCUGUUAUUGUUAUUGUCCACCCAACCAGGAAGAAGAGGUGAACAACUCAUUCCAUAAGCAGCUGGAGAAUGUUUCAGGAUUAUCAGCCCUUGUUCUGGUAGGUGACUUUAACCUACCAGACAUCUGGGAACACAACAGAGCAGAGAAGAGGCCAUCCAGGAGGUUCUUAAAGUGUGUGGAGGACAACUUUUUGUCACAGCUGAUGCAGCUUCAUAGUUAGAAGACAUGAAAAGCAUCUGAGGGAGCUAAAAACAAAUCCUGGAUCUCAACAAGAUUCCUGGCAAUCAAUCAGAGUUUUCACUGAUGUAUCAGGAGAUUGAACAUCACAAACCAGUUCAGGAUAGGUGCUGUUUCUAUGUCUGGAUGAGCUCCUGUGCAAGGCAUUUGGUGUCUUGGUCAUCAGAAAGUUGGGAAAAAAAGCAUGUAUUUCUUUGUGAGCAGGCUUCAGUGAAGCAAGUAAAGGAAGAGUACAAUGAGGUUAUACAUGCACAAGAGAGGAUUUUAAAAUUUCUUCAACACAUGAAAAAUCACUCCCAACUUAGUUAUUUUAGGUAAGUGUAUUCGUUAUGCUGAAGGAUGAGGAACACCACAAAUCUUGCCCCACCCAGAAGAGGAGCAAGACAUGAGAGACUUUUCAAUAGUUAGAAGUGCCUCCUUCUCAGAAACAAGAUUCUAAUCUUGGAUAUUCUCUCAGCAGAGAGACAGCUGCUCACCCCAAUUGCAGGUGACUUUAUUGAAUGAUCCAGUGCCUUCUUAUCCCACAUUCACAGCUGGGUGAUUGUGUGAUUUUUGAUGGAGGGGAAUAAAAAGAUCACAAUUACUGAAGGUACAGCAGUACAGACCCUAUCUUUGAAUCUACUUUUGAGAGGUUAUAAAGGGAAGAUGUAGAAGGGUUUAAGACAGACCUGUUUCUGUGACUUCUGAAAGAGUAUUUUAAUCAUCCAUGCCUUUGUAUCAGCUGCUUUAGAUAAGGAUCAGGUUCCUUAUGCAUACAGCAUUGAUUCUUUUUUUUUUUAACUAAUAAAACUCAACAUUUUUGCCUUGUUUCAGAAAGCCUCAUGUACUAGCACAGACCCAAAGGAAGGAGCCUUCCCAAGCAGAUUCUGGAAUUCAGCCUGUUGUUGCCAAAAGCUGGUUUUGGAGAGCUAAAAAAUCUUAUGAAUCUGCAGCAUGUUCAGGAGCAAGGCAACUGAUCAGCAGGCACUUAGAAAAUUAUGUAAGACUUUAUAGUCUAUAAAUAAUUUUUAGGUAUUGUGAGCUCCUUUGCUUUUUAGUUAGCUUAGCUAGCUGAGGUGUCACCAUGACAUUUUCUGAAAAAUCCCUUUGCCAGGAUUUCUUCUCCUGGGAAGCUGGGAAGCUUCAGCUUCUUCAUGUUUUGCUGCUUUGGAAUGUGAUUUGGAGAAUUGUUUAUCAAGCAUGUGAAUUGUUUUAAUUUAAUAGCCAGUUGCUGUCCAGCUGUGUCAGACUCUCUGAUCAGUCACAGGUUUUUAUUAUUCAUUCUUGUCUAGCCUUCUGAUGUAUCCUUUCUCUUUCUUUAGUAUAGUUUUAAUAUAUAAUUUCUUUUAAUAUCAUAUCAUAAUCAGCCUUCUGAGAACCUGAAGUCAAUUCUCAUCUCUCACCUCGUCCUGGGGACCCAUCAACACCACGCUGAGGCAGAGAAGUUUUCCCUGGACUGUUUUUUUUUUUUUCUUUCCCUUUUUUUUGGAACCAUUUGAACCUGCUCUGGACUGGGACCUGGGGAGCACUAAGAGGUUGCACUUUGUGGCCUCGCAGCCUUUGCCAGUGCUGGAAGGACUGAUAACUGUGGAGGGAUAGAAUUUAAGAAAAUAAAGAUAGUACAGAAGGUAGUCUUACACCUGAGGAGUUGCAGCUGUACUAAUCACCAAAGAUUAGGAACAGGCCUGCCCUUAAUAGGCCACAGCUGUGUCCAAUAAGAUGAGUGCUACAAAAGAGUGGGUUAGCUGGUUGAGAAGAGAGUUGGAGUUGUUGGCUGUGAAGAAGAAGUCAGUGCUGUGAGGAGCUGCCCAUGAGAAAUCACUGAGAAGGUAUGAGAGCUUUGCAAUAAAAUGACAACAGAUAACAGAGCAACCACCCACCGGAGAGACUUUCUGAAUUUGUCAUCUCUUCAGAGUGGUGAAUGAGUUUUGUCAUCUACUAUUGUUCAUUUUGUGCACUGGGGAGUGCUUUGCCUGUUAAAUGUAAUAGAUGAUAUGUAUAAAUUUGUGCUGAGGCUACAGUAAUCUCACCUGAUGAGAAUCCUGGCAUACCAAAAGAAGAUUCUGGGAAGUUCCCUCUGAUGAUAUUACAGUGAUAUGCACCAAAUAUUCAUCUCCAGAAAUGUUGAUUUCAGAGGAUUAUUCAUCUGACCAAACCCCAGCAAUAUGCAUUCGAUAUAAGAUAAAUAUGUGUGUCCUAGAAUGAAUAUGCUAAAAGGAUAGGAUCAACAAUAAGAAAGCAAGAAACCCUCCCUGGCAACCCUCGGAGCUUGGAAAUGUAUAAAAAAGACUUUGUAAGAGCUGUCUCUUUGUGAUGCACAGAGGAGAGGAGCCAGAGUGCCCCACCUGUCUCACCCGACGCUGUUAGCCUGGUUCAGCGCUGAUCUGAUCUCUGCUUGUGGCCUUUUUAUGAUUGAAUUUUAAUUACUGAAUAAAUUCUCCUUAUUAAUCAAAUUGACUAAUUCAUUUAUAACAUAAAUAAACAGGUUUUUUCCACUUCUCUCCAAGGCAAUUCUUCCCAAAUGAGUCGGGGGGAGUGAGGUGACUCUGGAGUUUUGGGAUCUCCCCGCCCCCGGCUGCCGUGGGUGCCCAAGACAGAGAAGCCCAGUUAAGCACGACCUGUCCAGGCCCCUCAGGCAGGCUCCAGAGCCACAGGCUACCUCAGCAAGCUCAGCUCGUAGUGAGAUCAGCUCUUCAGGGAUUAUCAGCUCAUUUGUGAUUCCAGCUCUUGGCUUGCUAAGUGCCCUGGGCACAUGCAGGGAGAGAGGAGAAGGCUGUAUGAGGUUCCCCAGGGAUGUCUUUAUUGAUGUCUCCUGCGAAGGUCUCAGGGACAGCUCUUCUGCCAAACUGGGCAAAAGUAGGGCUUUAUAUAGGGUACAGGAGUUUCAGGAAUUGUCCAGUAGUAGGGGUCAAGGAGAAUGUGACCUAUAGUCAUACAGAGAGAUAAGCAAGGGUCCAGAGGAGGAAAAAGGGGCUUCUUUUAGGUCCAGUCAUCAUGACUAGGCAUUUCCUAUCUUAGGCUGCUGAAUGCCAGGGAGGUCUUGCAGGCCCUGUGCCUGCUACAGGGGAGGGGACAUGUGGAUUGGCACUCUGGGGGGGCCACUUUAGGAGAUUUUUUUCCCAAUUUUACCCUAAAC